CAGCCGCCGCGGUAAUACGUAGGGUGCAAGCGUUAAUCGGAAUUACUGGGCGUAAAGCGUGCGCAGGCGGUUAUAUAAGACAGAUGUGAAAUCCCCGGGCUCAACCUGGGAACUGCAUUUGUGACUGUAUAGCUAGAGUACGGCAGAGGGGGAUGGAAUUCCGCGUGUAGCAGUGAAAUGCGUAGAUAUGCGGAGGAACACCGAUGGCGAAGGCAAUCCCCUGGGCCAGUACUGACGCUCAUGCACGAAAGCGUGGGGAGCAAACAGGAUUAGAUACCCGAGUAGUCCCUGUCUCUUAUAC
This 301-nucleotide ribosomal RNA is filed under the name uncultured bacterium. RNAcentral's name for it is "partial 16S ribosomal RNA". It matches the Rfam family "Bacterial small subunit ribosomal RNA", at positions 509 to 807 of the family's 1533-position model. The record is from RNAcentral.